AAGAGCCGCCAUUACAUACGCUCUCUGUGACAGUGCAAGAAGAGGGAAGAGGUGCAUUAAAUUUUAUAUAGAUUUGCAGAUGAGAAUCACGAGGGAUUUGGUACCUUAAAAACAUGCAUGUAUCUCGCACCUCUAUCCCUUCCCUUCGUCAAAUCUUUAGAGAGAGAGAGAGAGAGGUUUGACCCUUAAUUUCCAGGUAAUUCCUCGAUGCUUUGCUAAAAAGAGUCAUUUCUUGAUGAACUUUUUCCCUGAUUGAUAUUGUGAGAAAUUUUGCUGUCAUCUGUAAAUGAUAUGUGAUUUUCACUACAUGUAUUCUCUAUCUCCUUAGUCUUAUUAUUGUAAUUGUGUGUAUAUUAUUCACAUACAUCCACAUAAAAUCACCGCACAAAUCUGCACAUUCAACUCUAUUGUGGCGCCUGUUAGAGCUCUUAGAUAAUUUUCUUUUAUAUUUCAAGGAAUAAAAGAGAUAAUGUUGACUCUGCACAGUUUCUGGUGCUGUUAAGCAUGCCUGUGUGCAAGUUUGUCUACACUUCCCUGGUGGUAUCCAAAUCAUCAAGUAGAACAAAAUCCCAUUACACAGGAAAGACAUGAUGGAUGAUCAGAUUAAUGCACAGUACUGUUAUAUAAUAAUGUGAAAGUAGGUGUAUCAACCCAAUCAACUGUUGUGAAGUUGAACUAGAAUUCAAUGGGGAGACAAAAGUAACUCUGAUUUUGGUUGCCUCGUCCCAACAUAAUGUUAGGGGACCAGUUUGAUGUUUUUUUUCCUCCACACAUAAUUUCAGUAUUGUAAUAAUCACUUCACUCAGGGAUGGAUUCAGUGCAUCGAAAAUGGAAACUUGUGUUCGAAUAUGCCCCUAUUCGAUCAGAAAUAAUUGCAUAUUAACAUUAUUGCUUGGUGAGGUGUUUGUCAUGUUAUUUAUGGUUCGUGAAUAUCAUAAUGCUUGAAUGAGCAAGACAGCAUGUGAAAUAAAAUGAUGGUAUUUCGCU
Hibiscus syriacus is the source of this 987-nucleotide long non-coding RNA. RefSeq lists it as uncharacterized. The record is from RefSeq and is a predicted model, not a curated record. Lineage: Eukaryota; Viridiplantae; Streptophyta; Magnoliopsida; Malvales; Malvaceae. The transcript has 2 exons.